This 253-nucleotide ribosomal RNA is filed under the name uncultured bacterium. RNAcentral's name for it is "partial 16S ribosomal RNA". It matches the Rfam family "Bacterial small subunit ribosomal RNA", at positions 524 to 776 of the family's 1533-position model. The record is from RNAcentral.
UACGGGGGAGCAAGCGUUGUUCGGAUUUACUGGGCGUAAAGGGCGGGUAGGCGGCCACCGCAAGUCAGUUGUGAAAUCUCCGGGCUUAACCCGGAAAGGUCAACUGAUACUGCGGGGCUAGAGUGCAGAAGGGGCAACUGGAAUUCUCGGUGUAGCGGUGAAAUGCGCAGAUAUCAGGAGGAACACCGGUGGCGAAAGCGCUCUGCUGGGCCGCAACUGACACUAAUGGACGAAAGCUAGGGGAGCGAAUGGG